This is a non-coding RNA of Mycobacterium malmoense, 111 nucleotides long. NCBI's taxonomy places the organism in Bacteria, Bacillati, Actinomycetota, Actinomycetes, Mycobacteriales, Mycobacteriaceae. The record is from Rfam.
CAUCCACAACGCGGGAGCGCACGGCGAAUGCGCUGAGAGGACGGCUUGCGGCCGUCGACCGUACGAACCUGACCGGGUAAUGCCGGCGUAGGGAGAUGAGAAAUGACUGAU